Molecule: ribosomal RNA, 404 nt
Filed under: uncultured bacterium
Lineage: Bacteria
Description: bacterial SSU rRNA
Rfam family: Bacterial small subunit ribosomal RNA
Source: RNAcentral
AACGAACGCUGGCGGCGCGCCUAAUACAUGCAAGUCGAGCGAGAAGACGUUGCAAUACGUUUGUAAAGCGGCGAACGGGUGAGGAAUACAUGGGUAACCUACCCUCGAGUGGGGAAUAACUAGCCGAAAGGUUAGCUAAUACCGCGUACGCUCCUUGGACUUCGGUUCAGGGAGGAAAGCGAUACCGUGGGUAUCGCGCUCUUGGAUGGGCUCAUGUCCUAUCAGCUUGUUGGUGAGGAACGGCUCACCAAGGCUUCGACGGGUAGCUGGUCUGAGAGGACGAUCAGCCACACUGGCACUGCGACACGGGCCAGACUCCUACGGGAGGCAGCAGUAAGGAAUAUUGCGCAAUGGGCGAAAGCCUGACGCAGCGACGCCGCGUGGGGGAUGAAGGUCUUCGGAUU